UCAAGUGGAGUACUCCUUCUAAGCUAAAUAUCACCACGAGACCGAUAGCGAACAAGUACCGUGAGGGAAAGUUGAAAAGCACUCUGAAUAGAGAGUCAAAAAGUACGUGAAACUGCCUAGGGCUCAAGCCCGUUGAACUCGAUUAUCCGAGCGGAGAUAUUCACCUGUGGCUGGCCGGCGACGGCAGGCCACAGGGCACUUAUCUCCUGCUUCCACAAGGACAUUGCGAUCCAUUACGAAACGUUGCUCCGCAAGGGGCAAUCGCCCGACAAUGCCCCCCUGGCACUGGUUGCUUGGUCCACAGUAGCGACGCUCAGUUCUGAAGGCCUGUGCCGCGAGGUGGACCUUACUGUGCGUGGUGUGGCGUCGGGCGCGUGAUGGAUUUCCGCGCGCACCGUCUCGUAUGCUUGCAUACACCUCCAGCGAGGGGACGGACUGCCGAUCGGCAAUGAUAAAAUCGAGGUACCUUCGGGACCCGUCUUGAAACACGGACAAGAAAUUUCACA
Molecule: ribosomal RNA, 506 nt
Filed under: Culiseta annulata
Lineage: Eukaryota; Metazoa; Arthropoda; Insecta; Diptera; Culicidae
Description: eukaryotic LSU rRNA
Rfam family: Eukaryotic large subunit ribosomal RNA
Source: RNAcentral